Ctenopharyngodon idella (grass carp) is the source of this 646-nucleotide long non-coding RNA. RefSeq lists it as uncharacterized. The record is from RefSeq and is a predicted model, not a curated record. The transcript is spliced from 3 exons. NCBI's taxonomy places the organism in Eukaryota, Metazoa, Chordata, Actinopteri, Cypriniformes, Xenocyprididae.
AAUAAAAUAAAUAAAUAUAAAAGGUAGAAUAAAAUAAAAGUACCCCCCCAAAAUAAAACAUUUCAUUAAAAUAUUUAAUUAUAUAAAUGUUACAUUUAUUCAUAUUUUACAAUUACAUUUAGAUACAUUUAGACAUAUACUUUUUUUUUUUUGGAUUGGUCAGUUACUGACUCACAGCCAAUCAGAAUGCUUGCUUUGGAUUUCAUGCAUCCCUGGUCCGUUAACGGCUCUGACGCAGCCAAACCGCUCGCAAGUUCGUAGAUGAAUCUGGAAAACCUGUUGUGGUUUUCAGAGGCCUUUCUGACGCCUAGAAACUUCCAGACAACUAUCCACAGAGCUAAUGAAAGGAUAAGGUGUUUGUUUUUUUAAUCUGUUAAGACCACCUCAAUUCUCAUACUUAUCUUGGAUCAGCAAACAUCCCACCUUGAGGACAUUUAAUAGAAGAUAUUCUCCUCUGCAGAAGUGUCUUCUCUUUAUCACCACCCAAUGGACAUAUUUGAAUCGAUGGCAGACAGGCCCUCUAAACCCACUCCAACUUCUGUCUUUCUCUCAGCCCACUUGGGAUCUGCAGUCUAAUACACCACAGACUAAAUCUGCUGAUAUUCUUGCAGUAUUUGAAGCAUGGGUGGAAUACUUACCGGCUGUA